GCCCCGCCGCCUGGCCUCUGGCCCGCUGGGGCGCGGGCUUUCGCUUUCAGUCGAGGGCUAGCGAGCGCAGCGGAGCCUGGAGAGAAGGCGCUGGGC
Molecule: microRNA precursor, 96 nt
Organism: Homo sapiens (human)
Lineage: Eukaryota; Metazoa; Chordata; Mammalia; Primates; Hominidae
Source: Ensembl